GGGGGAAUCACGGAGGAGGGAUCCUGAGGAAGAGGAGGCUCAUGAAGAAGAAGAAGAAGAAGAAGGAUUCUGAGGAGAGAGAAUCACUGCUCUGAGAUUCAACACACUAAUCCUUGAUGAGAGAUGUGCGGAGCUGUCAUUUUCUCCAAGCAUUCAUGUACAGUCACUGGGGUUUCCACAGGUCUCUUCCACAGAGACACUCUGCCUUUUAGCAGGUCACUGCGUGACAUGGCACAGAGGAUGUAUUGCUUUAGGGGGACAGAAGCUUUUCCAGAAGUAUUUUUAAAAGAAAAAGAAAUUGUGUUGAGGCAGAAAUUUAGCAGCAGUUGGAUCCCUCUGCUCCUAUGACUCUUAGUCUAUAAAUUGGGAUAAUCACUUCUGAGGGAGGAAGGAAGGAAGCUGAAUGCAGAGAUAUCUGUGCUAAAUGUCCAGUGGCUUUGGCACUUCAGCUGUGAAGUCUUGUAAUAUGCACAGGCUCUGGCUGGUGGAGACAGCUGGGAGAGCAAAAGCAAGAAAACUCCUGGGCUGACAUAAAGACAUUUUAAUUGGCGGAGGAAAAACCUCAGUGACACAAAGGGAGUCACCCACCACAUCCCAGCAGCCAGUCCUGGAACAGCAGCCGCCUUGGCAAGAGAACCCCAGCUCCUUCCUGUGCCCCAAUGGUGCGGGGGCUGUGGGGUGUCCCCGACCGUCCCCUCCCAGCCUCCUGCCCUCCCACCCUGCGUCCUGGGGACAGAGUGGGCACUGGAGAAAGCCUUUGCCAGGAUGCCAGCGCUGCUCAGGAGCAGCUGGAACGCUGGUGCUUCACCCAGCCUGGUUUAGUCACAACUCCAAACCCCCAAACCUCACCACGGUAUGGGCUGCCAUAAAACAUUAACCCGGGCCUGGCCAAAAGCAAUACUAAAUUAAUCCAGGUGGAACCGUGGAAGAGAGACUCACAAGGGAAAAUGUGUUCAUUUCAACAAUUUAUGCGGAGUUUAAGUCUUUUGGAUUUUGGGGGUGAUAUUGUCCUGUUAGGAGGGCUGAUGAAUGGGCUCAGAUGAUGAGUGGUUUAUUGAACAUGAUAUAAUUAUGAUGAGGGAAAUGGGAAAUAUUUUGUCAUGGCUUCAGAAAAGCUCUGUGGGAAAGAGUUACCCAAGGUUGUCUUGGUAUAGCAGGAGGGGAUGGACGGAAAUUCUCUCUUGAGAGACUGGUUCAGACUUGGGCAUUUAGGUGAUGGGUGCUACACAGGAACCCAGAUAGAACAGUUCAGCUGUGUUUGAACUCAUUGAAGGAUUAAAUCCCCUUCAGAGCAGCAGCGUCAUUUUGGGUUUCUUUGGAAACUGUGGUCCGUGAGUUUAUAUCUCUUAAAGACAGAUAGAUAAAUUAGUUCCCACAGUUGUUUUCUCAGCUGGAUUUGGGUUCAUAGCAGUUGAAAUUCCCUCCACAGAAAUGAACAAUCACCCCUUACCUCAGCAACCCCAUGGGCUGCACAGUUCAGUGCUUACUUCAAAUACCCUGAAAUAUGCCAGUAAGCACUGGUGGAGGAUGUGAUCUUCCACUGAGUCCCGCACAUGACACGCAUUUCCUACUGGCUGUAUGACAGUAAAACUGAGGGGAAAUUGCCCCAAAGCCCUGGAAGCUGGACCAGGGGAGGAGUGAGCAGCAGUGGCUGUUUUGGGGUUCUUUUGAUGCCAUGUCUGAGGGUGUAACACGGCUGAGGAGCUGCAGGAAUGGAGCACGAGGGACUUCCAGUAAAAGUGUUGCUUGGUUUUUCUGGCCUCUAUUGUUUAUCAGCUAAAGCUGAAAAACCUAUAAUCGCCCAAAGGAAUAACAGUCUUAGUCUUAAGCUCUCAGGAUCUCUCAAUUUAGAAGCUUUUCAACUUUUCAAGAUUUCAGGAGUGUGAGUGCAAGAAAUAAUAUCAUACAUUAGAGACUGUAAUUCUGGAAACAUUUGAAGGACAGAAUACAGCAAAAUUGGUUGCAAAUGCCUCCCUCCUUUAUUUUUCUAAGAAUACACUCUUCAUAAUACCUUGACUUUUAACCUGUAGAAUCGCUGUUAAUGUAAGCAUCACUAUCGUGGCAAACAGAUACAUUUUUUUCUUUUUGUUCUGAUUUUAUAAUAAUGAUAUUGUUAUAACAAAACCAAUUGCACAGAAUAACUGCAGAUUUUGAAAAGAAUUUUGAUCCUUGUUAACAUUUUGAAAAGUAAGAGCUGGAAUUUCUGGAAAACCACAGUGUCAAUUCUCACAAAAGUGUGUUUAAUUUAUCGAUUAUGGACAUUUUAAAGCUUCUGUUGACCUGUAUUUGAAUGCAUUUGUAGAAGUUACUGUAUUGCUAUUAUGAUUAUUAUAAUGUUAUUGUGAUGGCUUGAUUUCUGUGUCACAAAACUUUGGUUUCAAUUGUUGCCCAUGUAAGUAAAUUAAAUGGCAAUUUAAAAUUGAUCCUGAUAAUUUAAAAUAUGCAUUCAGGAGAAGGCUG
Long non-coding RNA from Hirundo rustica (Barn swallow), 2460 nucleotides. RefSeq lists it as uncharacterized. The transcript has 3 exons. Lineage: Eukaryota; Metazoa; Chordata; Aves; Passeriformes; Hirundinidae. The record is from RefSeq and is a predicted model, not a curated record.